This 24-nucleotide non-coding RNA is filed under the name Arabidopsis thaliana (thale cress). The record is from RNAcentral. Lineage: Eukaryota; Viridiplantae; Streptophyta; Magnoliopsida; Brassicales; Brassicaceae.
AGCAAAUGCAAAGCUAAAUGAUGA